AACAGGGCAGCUGCACUUUGUUUUGUAGUAAAAGGCAAAAAUCUUUAAAGAAGGCAGACUUAUUUGGCUUGCUAGUCAAGAUGGAUAACAUUUUAUUUUACAUGCUGGACUUACUGACUUUUCGUUGGGUGGCCAAAUUUGGAAGCAGAUUAGAUGCACCUGGUGGCUGCUGCAGUGCAAUCUGU
Molecule: long non-coding RNA, 185 nt
Organism: Girardinichthys multiradiatus
Lineage: Eukaryota; Metazoa; Chordata; Actinopteri; Cyprinodontiformes; Goodeidae
Exons: 3
Source: RefSeq, a predicted model, not a curated record